RNAcentral lists this ribosomal RNA (445 nucleotides) under Eubranchipus grubii. RNAcentral's name for it is "partial 16S ribosomal RNA". It matches the Rfam family "Bacterial large subunit ribosomal RNA", at positions 1819 to 2600 of the family's 2925-position model. The record is from RNAcentral. Lineage: Eukaryota; Metazoa; Arthropoda; Branchiopoda; Anostraca; Chirocephalidae.
GGCCUUAUGAUUUUUUAAGGUCUGACCUGCCCACUGAUAACUUAAAGGGCCGUGGUAUAUUGACCAUGCGAAGGUAGCAUAAUCACUUGCCUCUUGAUUAGAGGCUAGAAUGAAGGGUUAGACGAGGGAUUUUCUGUCUCAUAUGUUUGUAUGAAAUUAAUUACUGGGUGAAAAAGCUCAGAUUAUUUUGAAGGACGAUAAGACCCUAUGGAUCUUUUGUGUUGGGGCGACACUGAGAGGAGAUUUAUCCCUCAGUCUAUUCAGACAUAUAUCUAUGAUAUAAGAUCCUUUAGUGAAAUUAGAUUAAGUUACCCUAGGGAUAACAGCGUUAUAUCCUUUGAGAGUUCAUAUCGACAAGGAUGAUUACGACCUCGAUGUUGGUUCAGGGAACCUUUAAGGUGUAGUAGUUUUAAAAGGAGGUCUGUUCGACCUUUAAAUCCCUACG